GUGUCAGCCGCCGCGGUAAUACGAAGGGUGCAAACGUUAUUCGGAAUCACUGGGCGUAAAGGGUGCGUAGACGGUAUGUUAAGUUCGUUGUUAAAGGCUCCGGCCUAACCGGAGUAUUGCGAUGAAAACUGGCGUGCUAGAGGGUGAGAGAGAGAAGUGGAAUUCCUGGAGUAGCGGUAAAAUGCGUGGAUCUCAGGAGGAACACCAAUGGCGAAGGCAGCUUCUUGGCUCAUUCCUGACGUUGAGGCACGAAAGCGUGGGGAGCAAACAGGAUUAGAUACCCUUGUAGUCC
Molecule: ribosomal RNA, 292 nt
Filed under: uncultured bacterium
Lineage: Bacteria
Description: partial 16S ribosomal RNA
Rfam family: Bacterial small subunit ribosomal RNA
Source: RNAcentral